This 460-nucleotide ribosomal RNA is filed under the name uncultured bacterium. Its description in RNAcentral is "partial 16S ribosomal RNA". It matches the Rfam family "Bacterial small subunit ribosomal RNA", at positions 338 to 795 of the family's 1533-position model. The record is from RNAcentral.
CCUACGGGAGGCAGCAGUGAGGAAUAUUGGUCAAUGGACGAGAGUCUGAACCAGCCAAGUAGCGUGAAGGAUGACUGCCCUAUGGGUUGUAAACUUCUUUUAUAUGGGAAUAAAAUGUUCCACGUGUGGGAUUUUGUAUGUACCAUAUGAAUAAGGAUCGGCUAACUCCGUGCCAGCAGCCGCGGUAAUACGGAGGAUCCGAGCGUUAUCCGGAUUUAUUGGGUUUAAAGGGAGCGUAGGUGGAUUGUUAAGUCAGUUGUGAAAGUUUGCGGCUCAACCGUAAAAUUGCAGUUGAAACUGGCAGUCUUGAGUACAGUAGAGAUGGGCGGAACUCGUGGUGUAGCGGUGAAAUGCUUAGAUAUCACGAAGAACUCCGAUUGCGAAGGCAGUUCACUGGACUGCAACUGACACUGAGGCUCGAAAGUGUGGGUAUCAAACAGGAUUAGAUACCCCUGUAGUC